This is a long non-coding RNA of Gallus gallus (chicken), 1696 nucleotides long. The record is from Ensembl. NCBI's taxonomy places the organism in Eukaryota, Metazoa, Chordata, Aves, Galliformes, Phasianidae.
CUGCCUGCUGUGGGGAGCGGCCUGCUCGGUGCUGCCUGGGCGGUGUCACGGCUCCGAGGGCCUCGGCGCGGCCCCGAGUCGGGGGUAGUCCUGCUUGCUCUGUGUAUUGUAUCAGUCUGCAGUCCUCAGGGAAGUUGGUGUUUUUCCACCCAGAAGUAUUAACUUCUUAGAAGAAACUGACUGUUUUUUCCCUCUUCAAUCCCUUUCCAGCUCUCUCCCACUACUUCUGCUGACUUCUAGAAGCACUUACUAGCACCAGAAUUAUCACAGAAACUUCCUCCUGGCUAAUAUUACCAAAGAAAGACCCACACAUAACAGCUACAGUUUGUCUUCAUGGUAUCAUCCUCCUAUAGCCAGUGGUACCACUGUGUGCCACCUGUGCAUGUCUGUUUUGGACAUCCUCUUCUCUUGGAAGGAAUCCUUCCUACUCAUUUUACCCUUCACUUCUCUUGGUGAUAUCAGCAUCAGUAUAUUCCCAAAAAAGUCAAUUCAAUGUGUGCAAAACAGGCUAGGUUGAAAUACAUGGAUGCUGACACAGUACUGCAAACCCCACAGAACCAAACCAGUAAUAUCAACAAGAACCAUCUGAUCCUAAUGCUGGGAAUAGCUGAACCCAUCUGCUAUGCUUUGUCUUGUCAGUAACAAAGUCUGGCAGGUCACUGGCUGCUCUCAGAGGAUGGACUCUGCUCUGCCACAAAGCAACAAGCCCCAGCUUGGACUUCUGGCCUCCAAAGAAAUUGCAGAGAGCUGGCUUGUCUCCGAGCUUAUAUAACUUUUAACAAACUAUUUUUAGGUGUUGGAUCUAGGUGAAUCAGCCAAACAAUCAAUGUAACCCUGUGAAAACAUUCUCUGAUUCAAAGAAAAACGCAUAGAAUAAAACAUCCUUGAGAACAUAAAUUAUGUUAUGUGGUAUUGUCAAUGCACUCAGGGACUGAUUCUGCUAGCCUGGCUCAUAGAGCAUCCAGGAAGCAUCGCUGUGGGUCUGAAGAGGACUGAUCAAUAAGGUACUUUUUAUGAGUGCAGGAAGUAAGCACAAAGCAGCAGAGGUAGUGGCAGAGUAAUUGUGUAGUCCCAAGGACUCUGAUCACACAAAAAAUCUCAGCUCUAAGCAUAUGAAUAGGAGGUUUUCUUAUUAUAUUUUGGCUGGGGGAUGGAGAAAUUUUACCACACAGCUUACUGAGCAAUGCUUCCACCAAAGUACAAACCAAAACCCAUUUGCAGAGCCAUUGGGCUAGAACAGAAGAAUAUUUUCCUUUGUAGCCAAGGCCCAACAUGCCAUCACCCAUUAUAGCACUGGAACCUCAGACAAGAAUAUAUUCUAUAAGAUGCAAUAUCUCAGAGACAGUCUCGGUAGUAAAAUAGCAAUCCUGAAUGGCUAGUGCUGGGGUGCCAAGCAAGGUUUCAACAGCUGAUCAUGCCACUCAGUUAUGUUUGCUUCUUGGCAAACGUAACUUGGGUGAUGGGAGCAUGCACAGACUGCCCAGCUUCACACCUCCUCUUUGAUGUCUCUGAGAGCAAUGCCCUCAAUCUGCAGGAACUUUGUUGCUGGUGGCACAGGGAUUAUAAGCAGACCAUAAUAUAUAUAAGACCAUAAUAUAUAUAAAAGAGGAUUUAAAUCAGGCUAAUAAGGAUUGGACUUUCUCUGCUUGUAUCUUCUGUAUUUUUUUUUUUUUAAACACAGACUUUCUCUCAACAG